This 86-nucleotide transfer RNA is filed under the name Streptomyces gelaticus. RNAcentral's name for it is "tRNA-Gly". The record is from RNAcentral. Lineage: Bacteria; Bacillati; Actinomycetota; Actinomycetes; Kitasatosporales; Streptomycetaceae.
CGGUGACCCGGGCGCGGGCGGCCCGGCCGCUCCCCGCGCCCCGCCGGGCGGGCACGGACCCGGGGUCCGGCACCCCGGUCACUGCC